This 65-nucleotide transfer RNA is filed under the name Lamiinae sp. 2 ACP-2013. RNAcentral describes it as "tRNA-Trp". Lineage: Eukaryota; Metazoa; Arthropoda; Insecta; Coleoptera; Cerambycidae. The record is from RNAcentral.
UAAGGAUUUAAGUUAAGUAAACUUUUAACCUUCAAAGUUAAAAAUAGAAAAUUUUUCUAAGCCUU